CUGUGUUUCAUUUGCGAUACUGAAGAUAACAUUAAUUUCAAUAUUUUCAAUUAUUCUAUUUUUAUCUUUCAUUCACAAUUUGCUCUUUUCUUCUGAUUAACUUUAUUGUAUCAUUGUCCAAUUUAUUAAUUAACAUAAUCUCAACAUUUUUAAUUUGCAAUGCACUUGGACACCGUUGGACUAACCAAGAACAAACAGCUUUUGUACAGAGAGAGAGGGCUAAUUAAUAUCUCAUUGAGCUAAUUUACGACGAUACAAGGCUACAAAGCCGGUGUCAUAUAAUUAACAUCUGAACAUGAAGUCGAAAAAUAAAAGGAGUGGGAUUGAAUGAAACAACUCAGUGGGACGUUAUAAAAUCCGUAUACUUGCAUACUUUCUACAUUUACAGAUAUCUAUGCGUCGAUAAAUACAAGACAAGAUAUACUGUAAUAUAAGGAAGACUAUUUCCUACGAUCGAUUAUUACUUAUUGUUUCUUGGAUUCUACGAAUUUUAUUUUACGUAUGCCAUUAUAACCCCAAUUGUAAACAAACUUCAAGUGUCGCCAUUAUUUAAAUAAAUAAAUAUUCCUUUUGUCUCCUUUUUUUUUUUAUUCGAUUUUACAUUGUGCAGUCGUUGUGCGUGUAUAUGCACGAUUGUUCGAGUAAAGUGCUUGAAUUUUUGCGAAUAAAUGUAUCAUUCGGACGAUGAUUAUUAUUAUUAUAUUCGGUUUCAAUAUUAAAAUAGCAAUUUCUCAUUGUUUUGUAUAAAAGGAGAAUCGAAUAAAGAAAUAAAAAAUAAUUCUUUCCAUUUAAUCUAUCUCUAAAUUAUAUUCUAUUAGAUUCUGUUAUAUAAAAAUUUCUAUAUUAAUUAUAUUCGCAAUAGUACGUAUUAUUUUGCAAUUUUGCAACGUUCGUCCUGGUACGAUCUCCCGAAUAAUAAAGAUAUUCGCAUUUUACAUGCACCUAUUAUUUAUCUGUUUCUUAAAUUAUU
Long non-coding RNA from Apis florea (little honeybee), 970 nucleotides. The record is from RefSeq and is a predicted model, not a curated record. NCBI's taxonomy places the organism in Eukaryota, Metazoa, Arthropoda, Insecta, Hymenoptera, Apidae.